UACGUAGGGCGCAAGCGUUGUCCGGAUUUAUUGGGCGUAAAGAGCUCGUAGGCGGUCUGUCGCGUCGGAUGUGAAAAACCCGGAACUCAACUCCGGGCCUGCAUUCGAUACGGGCAGACUUGAGUACUGCAGGGGAGACUGGAAUUCCUGGUGUAGCGGUGGAAUGCGCAGAUAUCAGGAGGAACACCGGUGGCGAAGGCGGGUCUCUGGGCAGAAACUGACGCUGAGGAGCGAAAGCGUGGGGAGCGAACAGG
Molecule: ribosomal RNA, 254 nt
Filed under: uncultured bacterium
Lineage: Bacteria
Description: partial 16S ribosomal RNA
Rfam family: Bacterial small subunit ribosomal RNA
Source: RNAcentral